RNAcentral lists this transfer RNA (36 nucleotides) under Ficus elastica (rubber plant). RNAcentral's name for it is "partial tRNA-Phe". Lineage: Eukaryota; Viridiplantae; Streptophyta; Magnoliopsida; Rosales; Moraceae. The record is from RNAcentral.
GUCGGGAUAGCUCAGCUGGUAGAGCAGAGACUGAAU